UACAGAGGGGGCGAGCGUUAUUCGGAAUUAUUGGGCGUAAAGAGCUCGUAGGCGGUUUGUCGCGUCUGCCGUGAAAGUCCGGGGCUCAACUCCGGAUCUGCGGUGGGUACGGGCAGACUAGAGUGAUGUAGGGGAGACUGGAAUUCCUGGUGUAGCGGUGAAAUGCGCAGAUAUCAGGAGGAACACCGAUGGCGAAGGCAGGUCUCUGGGCAUUAACUGACGCUGAGGAGCGAAAGCAUGGGGAGCGAACAGG
RNAcentral lists this ribosomal RNA (253 nucleotides) under uncultured bacterium. RNAcentral's name for it is "partial 16S ribosomal RNA". It matches the Rfam family "Bacterial small subunit ribosomal RNA", at positions 524 to 776 of the family's 1533-position model. The record is from RNAcentral.